UCCAGACUCCUACGGGAGGCAGCAGUGGGGGAUAUUGCACAAUGGGGGAAACCCUGAUGCAGCGACGCCGCGUGAGUGAAGAAGUAUUUCGGUAUGUAAAGCUCUAUCAGCAGGGAAGAAAAAAGACGGUACCUGACUAAGAAGCCCCGGCUAACUACGUGCCAGCAGCCGCGGUAAUACGUAGGGGGCAAGCGUUAUCCGGAUUUACUGGGUGUAAAGGGAGCGUAGACGGCAAUACAAGUCGGAAGUGAAAUACCCGGGCUCAACCUGGGAACUGCUUUGGAAACUGUAUGGCUGGAGUGCUGGAGAGGUAAGCGGAAUUCCUAGUGUAGCGGUGAAAUGCGUAGAUAUUAGGAGGAACACCAGUGGCGAAGGCGGCUUACUGGACAGUAACUGACGUUGAGGCUCGAAAGCGUGGGGAGCAAACAGGAUUAGAUACCCUAGUA
RNAcentral lists this ribosomal RNA (446 nucleotides) under uncultured bacterium. RNAcentral's name for it is "bacterial SSU rRNA". It matches the Rfam family "Bacterial small subunit ribosomal RNA", at positions 330 to 792 of the family's 1533-position model. The record is from RNAcentral.